UAGAUUUUCCAGAAUGGAACUAACUGGAACCCUUCAUUUUGCAGCCGGAGCUCCCUGCCCCUUAGGGGGCAGGGAGCCAGUGAUUCCUGAGGGACCCCUCAUCCCUCCCAGGGUGAACUGUCCUAUGUGACCUCGGAGAACCAACAGCCCAAGCCCAGUUUCCCACCAGGCAUAUGUACAAGGUAUUCAGAGGUGCGGAGCACGGUCCACAAAUCGUAUGGAUGAAAUAGCCGAGCCUCAGGUGUGGCAGAGGUGAUUAAGCGACGGCCGUGAGUGCAGAGGACUAGUUAACUCAUCUCAGAUUGUUUGUUCCAGACUGAAAUCAUGGUAGGAAAUUGUUGUGCAUGUCCUCAGAGGAUACACUUACACAGUAAAUGAAAAAGUGGCUCUACAAGGGAAGAUAGCGGUGGAUGAGACUUCAGACUGCUGAGCUUAGAAAGGGUUAAUGUUUCUUUGGUUGUUGUUCUGGGGGUCUCUGAGCCUCAAGUGUUUCUCUGAAGAUGUGGGUGUCAUCAUAUUAUCUUUGUCACACACUCAGCCCUAUACAUGUUCUGAGAUUCUGACAGCCUGUGACAGCUGCAGGGGGCCUCACUAGCUAGGUCUGAAGCUCGGUAUGCGAGCAAGACACGGGGCGCCUUAGGGAGAAGGGGUCUUCUGAGGAGUUCAGGGUGCCGUGCACUACCUGAGUCAUUUAGCAGUGCUGAUACCAGGACCGUCCAGGUCAGAUUCUGAAGGUGCGUGGUGAUGGUGUAUUCUGCGUGGGAGUCAGACUGUCAGCAGGAGCCCCUUCCCCGGCUCUUUGCCAGCAAGCAGGCUCCGUCCACUGUUGAGACACAGGGGGCUGCUGUGUCUGCAUUUCUCUAGAGGCCUCUGUCCCCUUUGCCAGCAUCUAUCUCAAGUCACAUUCCCUGGGAGUUCUCAUUCCAUACAGUUAAUCCCCUAGAACAUGGGCCAGCGCAUUAGCUUUCUAGCCCUCUUAAGGACCAGAAAGGAAAAUGCUCCCCCGUGGGUACAUUGCAGACACUGAGGGUGGGAGUGCUGGUGAAAUCAUAGCCUGAGGCUCACACCUGCCGGCUGCAUGUCACUGACAGGCUGCACGGGGCUGGGGGUUCAGUGCUGGAGCACAGAAAAUAAAAAUUAAUAAAAAGCAAGAGAAAAAGAUAAACCUUGAGUCCCAGUGUGUCCAAAACUUGCUUUAGGGCACCCGUAACUGACUCAUAAUUUGUCAGUUCAAAAGCUCCUUGCAUUUUUGUUGUUGCUGUUGUUGUUUGUUUAGCCAAUAUAAAACCCCAAACAAAUAAAUUUUAAAAACCUACAGGAAAACCACCACACAAAAUAUUUACUGUAAUUGUACAGGAAAUAUAAUGUUAAUUAAUACGUGGUUGGUAAAAAUCAAAGCAUAUGUAACACUUAGCCCCUCCCUCAACAUAGCCCUUUUCCCCCUCAAAUUAGUCAGCUGCUGUGGUCCUUUUGUGCUCCUGCAUUUUUCUGUACUUUUACAUUUGUCUAUACACACAACUCUACAGUAUAUGACUGUUUCUCUUGUUCACAGGCUGUUUCUGAGCUAGUAUUUUUUUCUUUUGCAUUUUGUAUCAGCUUGUUUUUCUCUCCUGUAGAAUGUGCUUGGCAAUAACAAAGAUCCAUGGCCUUCCUGAUGACACCCAGCACCUCAGAUUCUCAGAUGGCAUACACAGCGGAGUUGAUUUAACCAUCUAACUCCCACCCUGAAAUCUGGGGUUUUAUCCUGCCAGGUAAGCCCCUUCUCUGUUUACUGAGACUGACUUCUGAGACCCUGCUGUGAGAGGGCUGUGUUGCCUGCUGUGUGUUGCUGGUGAGUCUGUGCAUCGCCGAAAUACCUCACAUGCAUUGGCACACGCAUAUGCACAUACGCUCGAGUGCAUUUACACACACACCCUACACUUGUGGGGCAGGAACCCCAUGAUGAAUUUUAAUCGGCACUGCAGCCUGAUAAUGCAUCUUUCAGCUUGCUCCUUGCCCUCUAGUCCUGGGAUGUCGGAAGGGGGAAACGCAGGUGGUGGAGGGGUGGAACAUGCAGGGCUGACGGUGACAUGUUUGUCUUUGAGUCAGCCUUGCCCCUAGGUAUUAAUCACUGGCCCUUUGUGCGGAGGUUGAGGUGGGGUUAGUGCCCUCUAUUUCUUAGUGUGGGAGUAGGCUAUGGAAUCGCAAGUAGCCAUCCUUAGCUCCAAUCCAGCUACAAAGCAGACUGAAGCUGUGUGUCCUUGCCUAGCUCACAAGCGUCUCUGUGCUUUGGUUCCUUCCUUUCACUAAAAAAAAAAAAAAAGAAAGAAAGAAAGAAAGAAAGAAAGAAAGAAAGAAAGAAAGAAAGAAAGAAAGAAAACAGAGAGAGAAAAGAAACGAAAAAAAAUAAAAGAAAUUCCGUAAUCUCUCUCACACAGGCCCAUUGAAAUGUCAAUGAGAAAAUAACUCAAAUAAAUCAUCUGGCCCAGUUCCACAUGCGAGGUACCCAGUAAAACCCCAAGUUUCCCCAGCCCAGCCUGCUCCGUCAAUGUGCCUUCCUUGCCCUCGCUAUUCUAUGCAGCCGUGCCUUUUCAGAGAACUGACAGAAGGGGGGACAAAACCCUCAGAAUGCAUAAAGCAUCCUGGCUCCCCUGCCCAAGCUCUUGAGCCCUUACACACCCUCCCAGGGGACCCCCGUGCUUUACUGGAACACCUGGGGCCAGCCCAGAUGCCCUACUGCUUUUAAUUGGGGUCUCCUGUCAUCUGGUUGAGAGUGUAUCUUAUUUUCAUACAAAUAAAUAGAAGAAGCCAGAUUGCUCCCAGGCAGCAUUUGUAUGCUUCUAUUUCCCUGCCUUUGGCAAAAACGACUCCUGAGAAAUAGAGGUGCUGGUUUUCAGGUGACCCUCCAAAAGCAAGUAUGACUUGCCUGUUGUCCCUUAUCCAGAAGGGACCCUUCUUGGUUGCCUGCACAACGGCGCCUCUCUCUUCAGUGUUUGGUUUCUUCAGUGGUCAGACGGCUUCUCCGUGUGCGACCCUGUCGUCCACAGAAACCCAUUUCUCAACUCCUUUAAGCCUUUAUUUCAUCCCUGUCCCUUGAGCAACAGGAGCUAUCCGAGAUAGCGGGUGGGGUGUGCCCUCCCUACCCAGCAGGGGCUAAAGGGCUUGCUCCCCUGUGACCCCAGCUCCUGGGCUGGGCUUUGGGUGACUUUUCAAAUUCACAAUGAAUCACUUUUGAACCCUGUUGGGGUCUUCAGUCACCUCUAAUCAGAAGUGUUUAUUUACAAGCCUGUGUGUUUGUGUGUGGGUGCGCUUGCAGCUUGCUUGCUUGUGUGUGUGCACACACACACACACACACACACACACACACACACACACGCACACACACAAACCACGGGAGCAGGAGCCUUCCUCAUCCAUAUCUCACAGGGCCCUCCCCCAUGUAAUACUGCAAGGGCAGUGACACCUGUGAAUGUCACGUCACCAAAUGUCAAAUGUCCACUUCCUAAGCCCCCAACAAAUCCUUUAGUAACAAAACAACAAAACAACAGCACCACCGCCGAAACAACCCAACACCAAGGCUCUGAGGGUGCAGACUGCCUCCCCAGAUAGCAGCCUUUAACCCAGAAGCCGCCGGGCAGUCUUCGGCCUCUGCCUCGCUCACCUGCAACACGAUGCUGCCCCCGCUUGGCGGGUCACAGCAGUUGAACGACCUUGCGGCCGCCAGAUCAGUUUGUCAGGAGCUGGACACUCAGGCAGCAGAAACUAGAAGAACUUUGCUCAGAUAAUUCUGUCAUUUGGAUUUUUUUUUUCCUGCUCUUUUUGAAAUAUCGUUUUGUUUUGUUUUUCUCCAUAGCCAGGUCAUCCUGAUUAGUUCACAGACAAGAAACCCCGGCCAGCCACACAGCUGUCCCAUGAAUAUACACGCUCAUACAUAAUACACAUAUAGUAAGUGCAUACACCAGGUAAAAAUGACAGGAGACUCCCAUAGAAACCUCAGAGCACAGGUGUGCCUGGCUGAGAGGUCCCUCUGCUACAAGCCCCAACCACCCAUAGCUCCUGGUGCAGCCCACAAAUAGGCCAGGAAAGCCGUUGUAGAGUAGUGUCGUCGGCUGCAUCCAUCCAGGCUCCUUCCUCCCGCCAUGCAGGGUGCUCUCCCGAGCCCCCAGCCCACUCAGGUCAUGGCACAGCAGUUGUCUGACUUUGUGGCUAGAGCCCAGCCUCCAGAGAAGUGACCUGCUGUUCCAGGGACCAGCCGGUGCCUCAAUGAGGUAGACCCCUCUCUCUAUGCCCUCCACCCACUUUACUAGACUGUUGACUUAAAGGUGACUCAGACCAGCACUCCUGGACCUGAGGUCACGCAGAGAAGCCCCUGGGCUACGCCAAGUGCCCUUCCCUUAACAGGGAGUUGGCUGCAGGAUAGCCCAGACCGUCCCCCACUGUCCCAGAGCACUCACCCCCAGUCUCAGCGCCUCUCCCUCAGUGCCUCAGUGAGGUAACAGUACUCCGCCAACUAUCAGUGUGCCUUUGCCAUUUAACCCCUGGCAAGGCCAGGGCAAAGGUCACCGAUCCUUGUCCUGACCCCAGCCCACUCCCCUCCAGCCAGCCCCACCUGUUUGCUCAGGACUCGGCACUGUAGUACCUCCUCAAAAGCCUGUCCCUUUGGGCUGCCAGCCAGCUAGAGAAACCUGCUGCAGCCUCCCCAUCACGUACCGGCCUGCCUCUCUGCUCCGGUGCCUCCAGUAACACAGAGCUCCCUCCCCUCGGCAGCCUGCUUGGGGGCUCACGUACUAAGACGCUCCACUCAGCCCUCCCCUGUCUUCUGCAUCAGCCUCCGCGGCUCCACAGCAGCCUGCUUGUGCCUCAGCCCUCAGGUCUUUACAGGAGGCACGCUCCCUCUCUUUAGGCCCUCCCUGUGCUGGAGUGACUAGCAGAACCCCCACCUACUAUGAGGACAGAUUUUGGGGGUUUCUACACUUGUCUUGGGGUCCUUCUCCUUUGGUCCUCUGCACUUAGGACUGAGCCCUUUGCUCUGCUGUCUUUGCAGCAGCCCAGGGGAGGGCCUGGUGCUCCUCUCGGGGUGGGGGCCAGCUGCUCUGUCUCUAGUUGUUAAGCAGCUCUGAGUCCUCUUGGUUCCCCCCCCCCUCUCUCUCAUGGCCCCUUCACCAGUUGCUAAGGAGAAACCUCUCAAUGCAAACCC
Molecule: long non-coding RNA, 5176 nt
Organism: Psammomys obesus (fat sand rat)
Lineage: Eukaryota; Metazoa; Chordata; Mammalia; Rodentia; Muridae
Exons: 3
Source: RefSeq, a predicted model, not a curated record